This 513-nucleotide ribosomal RNA is filed under the name uncultured bacterium. RNAcentral's name for it is "bacterial SSU rRNA". It matches the Rfam family "Bacterial small subunit ribosomal RNA", at positions 26 to 518 of the family's 1533-position model. The record is from RNAcentral.
AGGACGAACGCUGGCGGCGUGCCUAACACAUGCAAGUCGAACGGGGAUUUGCUCGGCAGAAUCCUAGUGGCGAACGGGUGAGUAACGCGUAGGCAACCUGCCCUCCGGCCGGGGACAACACUCCGAAAGGGGUGCUAAUACCGGAUACGAAGUCUGUGCCGCAUGGUACGGAUUUGAAAGAUGGCCUCUAUUUAUAAGCUAUCGCCGGGGGAUGGGCCUGCGUCCGAUUAGCUGGUUGGUGGGGUAACGGCCUACCAAGGCGACGAUCGGUAGCCGGUCUGAGAGGAUGAACGGCCACAUUGGGACUGAGACACGGCCCAGACUCCUACGGGAGGCAGCAGUGGGGAAUCUUCCGCAAUGGGCGCAAGCCUGACGGAGCAACGCCGCGUGAGUGAGGAAGUUCUUCGGAACGUAAAGCUCUGUUGUUCCUGACGAACCUCCCCUCUAUCAACAACGGAGGGGACUGACGGUAGGGAACGAGGAAGCCACGGCUAACUACGUGCCAGCAGCGGC